Molecule: long non-coding RNA, 1330 nt
Filed under: Felis catus (domestic cat)
Lineage: Eukaryota; Metazoa; Chordata; Mammalia; Carnivora; Felidae
Description: lncRNA (ENSFCAG00000050176.1)
Source: RNAcentral
ACAGAAAAAUGGUUGAUUUCCCCUUAAAUACUUAACAAACGCGUCAUGAUAUACAUGGAAGUAACUGAGUGGUCUCAUGGGUGCAACCAAGUUUCUAAGAUGUUCUAUUAUCGAAGUUAAUAUUCUGAAAAUCAAGUCUCUUGUUUUAGAAAAAUGGAAGUAAAUAAUCAACAAAAGCAAAACAAACAUGCCCCUAACAGGUGCGGCCGACAGUGUGUGAAACUCGUGCUCAGGAAGAUCUCGUUUGCCCAGCGCUCCGCCCACGGCAGCUGAGCCUUGAGCAGGGAGAAGCGGGCACGUGGGGCAGGGUCCCCGCGUGGGGGCUUGUGGAGUCCGUCAUCGUGGGGAAUAAACCUGGCUGGGAGCAGCCCAGGAACUCAGCGUGGGGCCCGUCCCCUCGGGAGCCGGAAGCCGGGUCAGUGUCCCCUCCGGGCUUUGUCCUGCGUCUUCUCUCCCGACCCCGCACCUGCCCUCACCACCACCUGAUGUCUGCCAAGCCUGGACUGGCAUCUGCCUCUCUCCAAGGAUGCCGUUCCGUGAAUUGAGUUCCUAGGGCCACCGGUGCAGGCAGCGUCCCAAAAGAAGACCGAGAAGGCACGAGGAGUGGCCUCCGCGGCCGUCACCUUCAGCGCCCCACUCACCUGGAGAGCGCCUCUACCCAUAAUGCACUAAGUGGAUGAUUAAACAGGAAUGGGGGCUUAACGGAGGCCUAGAAAACGGGAUAUGCAUCUUGGAACUCAGUAACCCUCGGAGACGAGCUCAUCCAAAGGCUUCACUUCAUACCUGGAGAAACCCGUGGAGUUCAAGCCGCGGGCCCUUGAUCACUGGCUGUGACACAGCAAGACACAGGACAAACUCACACCCUCCUCUAGACGGCUCCGCUCCGAGCACAGAAGAUAUCAGCCAGCCUGGACGUGUCACCUGGACUUGCUGAACCCUCGAGGGCUCACUCCCAGCAUCCUGUGCUCCAGUGCUCCUGGACGCCCCGGUGCCUUCCAGAAGCACGGCCUCAAUGAAACGGAGAGAGCCAGGGGGUGGCUUUCCGGCCCGCUGGGUGCAGGGCAGGUACCAGGACCGGUUCUUUCCCCUUGUUUCCCUGCUGUGCCCGGAGCAGCGACUCCGAGGCCAGUAGGGAAGCCUCAGGUACCCGCGAACCAGGGAAAGUUCCCGCAAAGGUGACGAGAGAAGGGCGUGUCCUGGCUGGUCGCGUGUCUGAGUGAGGCUUCCCGUAGGGCCUUCCCCUGGCCCAAGUCAGAGGACACGCAAGAAGGCGGGCGAGGGUCCGGCCAGAGCCCCGGGGGCCCCACAGCGGCGGCGGGCAGCGGGUCAG